RNAcentral lists this ribosomal RNA (301 nucleotides) under uncultured bacterium. RNAcentral describes it as "partial 16S ribosomal RNA". It matches the Rfam family "Bacterial small subunit ribosomal RNA", at positions 509 to 807 of the family's 1533-position model. The record is from RNAcentral.
CAGUAGCCGCGGUAAUACGUAGGUGGCAAGCGUUGUCCGGAAUUAUUGGGCGUAAAGGGCUCGCAGGCGGUUUCUUAAGUCUGAUGUGAAAGCCCCCGGCUCAACCGAGGAGGGUCAUUGGAAACUGGGAAACUUGAGUGCAGAAGAGGAGAGUGGAGCUCCACGUGUAGCGGUGAAAUGCGUAGAGAUGUGGAGGAACACCAGUGGCGAAGGCGGCUCUCUGGUCUGUAACUGACGCUGAGGAGCGAAAGCGUGGGGAGCGAACAGGAUUAGAUACCCCGGUAGUCCCUGUCUCUUAUAC